RNAcentral lists this ribosomal RNA (407 nucleotides) under uncultured bacterium. Its description in RNAcentral is "partial 16S ribosomal RNA". It matches the Rfam family "Bacterial small subunit ribosomal RNA", at positions 28 to 526 of the family's 1533-position model. The record is from RNAcentral.
GACGAACGCUGGCGGCGUGCCUAAUACAUGCAAGUAGGACGCAGUUGCGAACGGGUGAGUAACGCGUAGGUAACUACCUAUUAGAGGGGGAUAACUAUUGGAAACGAUAGCUAAUACCGCAUACUAGUAGAUUGACCUGCGUUGUAUUAGCUAGUAGGUAGGGUAAUGGCCUACCUAGGCAACGAUACAUAGCCGGACUGGGAGGGGUGUCGGACAAACUGGGACUGAGACAAGGCCCAGACUUCCACGGGAGGCAGCAGGAGGGAAUCUUCGGCAAUGGGGGGAACCCUGAACAAGCAACGCCGCGGGAGUGAAGAAGGUUUUCGGAUCGUAAAGCUCUGUUGUGAAGGAAGCGGUACUUAACCAGAAAGGGACGGCUAACUACGUGCCAGCAGCCGCGGUAAUAC